AAAAAAAAAAAAACAAGCAUAUGAUUGUUUGUUACCUUAUUUCAGCACAUGCUGAAGUAGGUAGUAUGAAAAACUUUCUUGAUCUUUCUCCAAUCUGCAGUAGCUAGCAUCAAAAGAAUGAGGAAGUGCUUAUUGCAAUUCAAAUUCUGAAGCAAGGAAAUUCUUUUUUGGUUUCUUAGUACUCAUUUCAGUCAAUUGUCUUGUUCUAGUAUGGUAUAUCCACAAAUUUGUGGUCCAAAGGAAAAAGAAGGAACAUUAUUAGUGUAGUACAAAGUAAAAGUUCAAU
This 286-nucleotide long non-coding RNA is filed under the name Trifolium pratense (red clover). RNAcentral's name for it is "long non-coding RNA (TPRA_LNC009227)". Lineage: Eukaryota; Viridiplantae; Streptophyta; Magnoliopsida; Fabales; Fabaceae. The record is from RNAcentral.